Drosophila suzukii is the source of this 1378-nucleotide non-coding RNA. Lineage: Eukaryota; Metazoa; Arthropoda; Insecta; Diptera; Drosophilidae. The record is from RefSeq and is a predicted model, not a curated record.
CAUCGACAUCAAUUUCUGAUGUCUAAGUUUCGUUUUGGAACACUGCGCAAAUUUGGUAAAAUCAAGCCUAAAACCGUGGUUGGAGUUGUGUCAUUCAGUCAAUUUCGCACUGUUUUUUAAUUUAUGAUCAUGCAUUCAUUACCCGCUGGUGAAUUUCUACAAAGUAAAUACAAUGUUGAAAGAGAUCACUUAGUGGGUAGUGCUAAAUUCUAAUCAAUCAUCUAUUCUAAUGAUAUUAUUUAAACUGUUUAUUGACAGGUUGUCAAACCUUAUCGAACUGAUGGAUGUAUAAAUUUAUUAGUAUUAUGCAGCGAUCGGCACGGAAUGCAAUAACAUUUAAUUAAAAUUUAACAUUGUAUGCGGCUUACCGAUAUGUGUGUGACAACUGCUGUCCUACGACGUACGUGUGUUGACAGAGGCUGAGCAGACCUAUUUCCUAUGCCCGUUUAAUGGAACACUGCCAACCGUUGGUAUAAUGCUUUAAAAUUUGAUGAAAUGGAGACAUCUUUAUAUGAAAAUAUUUACCCAUGUUUUAAAAUGAUGGAACAUUGCACUUCCAGCCAUUGUAUCGCAUUGAAAAGCAAUUGAGAUCGAGGCAAAUGUAAGCACUCGAUGGAAGGACUCCGCUUUAUGUAUAUAUAUACGUGUAUAUAUAUAGUUCCUGGCAAUUAACGUUAGCGAUUAUGACACUGAUGUUAGAAUGGGUGCAAAACUGAUGGGUAAAAUCCCGCAGGAACCCCAGCCCGCAUCCGAGGGACUAAUUAAAGAGCCGGGGAGCUCCGGAGGAUGAAGAACCUUGAACUGGAGAACUGAAGAACUGGAAUCGAAGUGAGAGAACGCCAGAAAUGCGCCAGAAAGUUGCGACGACUUCCCAGACACAGAUGCAGACACAAUCCCAAACUCCCAGCACUUUUCGGCCACGCUUGGCAUAUUAAAAAUAUGUAUAAAGCACAAACUUUUGGCCGCCUCUGUCGUACUUUCACACUUUGCCUGAUUAAAACGCCGCCAAGAAAAGUCGAGGAAAAGCCAAGCCGAAGGAAAUGAAAGCGAGUGCGUUGAGUUGGAGGUUGGGCGGUUGGUAAGUUGGAAAAUGGGGGUGUGGCAAAGUUUUUGGCACUGCCAGCGGUAGCGGCAAAAGGCUUUAACUACAUUGCAAAAAGCAGAAGCAGAGGCAGAAGCCAGAGCCAAACAGCCGGUGUCCUUGAAAAAGUCUCGCAGGACGCAGGACUCGGGACGCAGAACUGGCCUAUGGAAUCUCCGUGUUUAUGUACCGACAACUUUCCGCUUUCAUUUCCAUAAAAAUGCGUUUGCUAAUUUCAUAACUAAGUCAGAAAGUGCGGGGAUAAAAUGAUUGCACUGAAAGAAACUGGAAAGAAUU